CUCUAUGAUUAAAUUGCGGAACAUACGC
RNAcentral lists this small RNA (28 nucleotides) under Bombyx mori (domestic silkworm). RNAcentral's name for it is "ovarian small RNA-14701". Lineage: Eukaryota; Metazoa; Arthropoda; Insecta; Lepidoptera; Bombycidae. The record is from RNAcentral.